Long non-coding RNA from Pan troglodytes (chimpanzee), 1966 nucleotides. RefSeq lists it as uncharacterized. The transcript is spliced from 3 exons. The record is from RefSeq and is a predicted model, not a curated record. NCBI's taxonomy places the organism in Eukaryota, Metazoa, Chordata, Mammalia, Primates, Hominidae.
GAUUGUGACAUAUCUCUGGAACCAGAACCUUAGUGAUGUGACUCUUCUCUCCUGCUGAAGCCAUGCCCACACAAGGGAAAGUGACUUAUCACUGGGCCCAGCACACAGGUGAUGUAAUUCUUCUGCCUGGUUUUUGUACCCAGGAGCCAUUGUAAUCUAUCUCUGGGCCCAUCAUUUAAAUGAUGUGACUGUCAUUUUCUUCCUGAGCCCUAUUCACAGGGAAAAUAGUGACACAUCUGUGGGGUUCUCAUGAAAUGAUGUGACUCUCCUGCCUGGGCUCGCCUCUCAAGGGAAUUGUGACAUAUUACUGGGCCAGCCACCUAGGUGAUGUGGCUCUGACAAAGGAGAAAUUGUGAUGUACCACUGUUCCACACCUAAGAGAUUUGACUCUCCUCUUUUCAUGAGCCCUGCAUUUAUUGUGUAUGGUGCCAUAUGGCUUGGUCCAACGCCUUGGUGAUGUGACUCUCUACUUCUUCCUGAGCUAUGCCAAAAAAGAAGAUUGUGACAUAUCACUGGAUCCAGUACCUAGAUGAUGUAAAUCUUUUCUUUUGCUGAGCCAUGCAUAUUUUUGGUAUUGUGACAUGUUGCUGGACCCAACACCUACAGGAUUGGAUCAGAGGCUACUGAAUAAGCCCUGCCCAUAGGCGGCCUUGUGACAUAUGUCUGCAUCUAUCGCCUAAGUGAUGUGACUCUUUUUCUGCCUGCAGCCUGCACAUAGAGAAGAUUGUGACAUAUCGCUUUGCCCAGUAACCAGGUGAUGUGUCUUUUCUGGCAGGUCUUUUCCCACAGGGAGCACUGUGAAACAUCACUGGGCUCAGCCACCAGGUUAUGUGACUCUUCUGCCUGUGCCCUGCUUCCAGAAAAUAUUGUGACAUCCCUCAUACAGCAUCCAGGUGAUGUGACUCUUCUGCUCAUUUUCUACUUACAGGAGACAUGCCCAAAAAAGGGAUUGUGGCAUAUCUCUGAGCCCAGCACCCAAAUGUUGUGACUCUCCUGCCUGAGCUGUGCCUAGAGAAAAUAUUAUAAUAUGUCACUGGACCCUGCAUGCAAGUGAUCCAAUUCUCCAGUCUGGGCCUUGCCCAUAGAGGAGAUUGAGACAUAUUCCAGGUGAAGAAUUCAGGUGGAUGGUGACUCUAAGACCAGGAUUCAACACACUUAGAAGGCUUUGACUCUGAUACCAGUCACAGAAGGCUCUGUGAGUCUUCUAUUUUCUCUAGGUCAUGCAAAUGGAGGCGGAUUUUGACAUAUCAUAAAGCCAACAUAAUACACAGUCUACAGGUGGAAUUGGGACUCUCAUGCAUGGAUCCAGUUCAUCAUUGAUACUGUGACUCAUGUACUUGGAUGCAACUCACAGGAGGUGUUGACGCUUUUACCUGAAGCUGGGACAUGUGUGGAAUUGUGAAUCUUAGCCCUAGAUCUUCCCACAGGUAUGAUUGUGACAUAUACUUUUGCCUAGCACCUGAGUGAUUUUACUUCCCUGCCUGGGCCCAGCUCUCAGAAAAGAUUGUGAUGUGACUCUCUUGCUUAAGCCCUACCCACAGAGGCUAUUGUGAAAUUUCACUGGGCCCAGCACUUAGGUCAUGUGACUCUUAUUUUCAGCCUGGGCCCUGUCCACAAAGUCUUUGUGAGAUAUCACUGAGCCCAGCAUCUCCAUGAUGUGACUGUACUGCCUGGGCCCUGCCCACAGUAGCUAUUGUGAAAUACUUCUGAACUCAUUACCUAGGUGAUGUAACACUCCUCCUUUGCCUGCAUUCUGCUACCCCCCAAAAAUGAACUGUGACAUACCACAGGCCCAAGCACUUAGGUGAUAUAACUCUCCUCUUCUGCCUGGGCUCUGGCCUCAGGGGAGAUUGAAACAUUGUACUGAGCCCAGAUUGCAGGUGAUGUGACCCUCUAUCUUAGGCUCUGCCCACAGGAGGUAUCAUGAUAGAUCUCUAUGGUCAUAAUUUAGGUGCUGUGACUCUUC